RNAcentral lists this ribosomal RNA (1008 nucleotides) under Triticum aestivum (bread wheat). Its description in RNAcentral is "partial small subunit ribosomal RNA". The record is from RNAcentral. Lineage: Eukaryota; Viridiplantae; Streptophyta; Magnoliopsida; Poales; Poaceae.
GAAAGCAGAUCAUACUGGCACAUAUCGGUGGAAAACAACACAUCUUUUUUUUUCGGGUUCUCAUGAUCUUCCACAGAAGUCAGAAACGCAAAUAUAUCCAUGGGCUUCCAUUUUCAGAGAUCUUCUCUAAGGAACAACAACAUCAACAUAUAUAUCAAGGUUCAGGAAUAAAAUUAUAUGUUUUAUAGGAGUCAGCAAUGACAAAACUAGCAUGUAAUGGGCAUACUGAAGACAACCUACAUCCAUUUAGGCAAAGACAAUAAAAAUUCAGAACAGUGUGCCCACCAUUUUGGAUUUAGGCACGACAAAAUUGUCAACGGAAGCCAUUGUCCUCAAAAUUUAGGACAGUCCAUCUUAGGCAUUGCAUUUUAGCAGGCAGUACAGUAAGCAUAGCCUGCUACCUCAAGUACAUAGUUCAUUACCUUAGCCUUUGCAUCCCAUCAGCAAGCGUUUUUUGGUGGCGCACUAAAACCAAACAUGUACCAGCAUCCUCCUGCUACAUCAAUUUCAAGGUAUGCGGGUCCUGAAAAACUGAGAUAUGUUUCCUCCUGGUGGUUGCUGUGAUCUUCUCCCCUCGUUUCAACCUCUUUCUCCUUUGAUUUGAUCGCUUAGGUCCCUGCUUUUGCCAAGACUGACAACUGCUCAUUAAAUUUACUUACUUACUUACUUACGAAACCUUUUAUCCCAAACAAGUUGGGGUAGGCUAGAUAUGAAACCCUUUCACGAGGACUUCCCAGGAGGUCACCCAUCCUAGUACUACUCUCGCCCAAAUGGGUUUCAUACCCAAAAGACUGGCUAGUUUUUACGUUGGCUUGCCAAGCCUAUCACAACCCUUAGAUAUGAAACCCUUUCACGAGGACUUCCUAGGAGGUCACCCAUCCUAGUACUAUUCUCGCUCAAAUGGGUUUCAUACCUAUGGGACUGGCUAGUUUUUACGUUGGCUCGCCAAGCCUAUCACAACCCUCCUCCUUUACCCGGGCUUGGGACCGGCUAUGCCUAGAAGACAUA